Molecule: unclassified non-coding RNA, 532 nt
Filed under: Hevea brasiliensis (rubber tree)
Lineage: Eukaryota; Viridiplantae; Streptophyta; Magnoliopsida; Malpighiales; Euphorbiaceae
Source: RNAcentral
CUUAUACUGAGUCAAGAUUCUUCUUUUAAUGCAAGCAUACACAAGAUGAUAUUGCCUAGUGUUCCAUGGUAUCAAGAGCAUCUUCUUCAUCAAACAUCUCUUGGUUCCCUAAUGGUCAUAAUUCUUAUAAGGACUGUGAAGUAUAACCUAUCUAAGCUGAAGGAUCUCUAUCUCCAUACAACUUGUCUAGCGACUUUGGCUAACAUGGCUCCUCAUGUCCACCGUUUGAGUGCAUAUGCAUCACAAAGACUCGUUAGCCUUUUCUACAUGCUUUCUCGCAAGUACAACAAACUUGCAGAGAGGAUAGAUGAUAAAAUAGGAAAGAGUUUGAACAAGGCAGCUUUGCUGAAGAUUUGUCUGCUGAGUUGCAUAUUUACACCGACUUCCUGAGAAUUGUCCUCGAAAUACUGAAUGCAAUUUUGACUUAUGCGCUGCCACGCAAUCCUGAGGUUGUAUACGCUAUAAUGCACAGGCAGGAGGUUUUUCAGCCAUUCAAGAAUCAUCCACGCUUCAAUGAAUUGAUUGAAAAUAU